This 468-nucleotide ribosomal RNA is filed under the name uncultured bacterium. Its description in RNAcentral is "partial 16S ribosomal RNA". It matches the Rfam family "Bacterial small subunit ribosomal RNA", at positions 28 to 507 of the family's 1533-position model. The record is from RNAcentral.
GACGAACGCUGGCGGCGUGCUUAACACAUGCAAGUCGAACGGAAAGGCCCUGCUUUUGUGGGGUGCUCGAGUGGCGAACGGGUGAGUAACACGUGAGUAACCUGCCCUUGACUUUGGUAUAACUUCAGGAAACUGGGGCUAAUACCGGAUAGCAGCUCCUGCUGCAUGGCGGGGGUUGGAAAGUUUCGGCGGUUGGGGAUGGACUCGCGGCUUAUCAGCUUGUUGGUGGGGUAGUGGCUUACCAAGGCUUUGACGGGUAGCCGGCCUGAGAGGGUGGCCGGCGACAUUGGGACUGAGAUACGGCCCAGACUCCUACGGGAGGCAGCAGUGGGGAAUAUUGCACAAUGGGAGGAAGCCUGAUGCAGCAACGCCGCGUGCGGGAUGACGGCCUUCGGGUUGUAAACCGCUUUCGCCUGUGACGAAGCGUGAGUGACGGUAAUGAGUAAAGAAGCACCGGCUAACUACGUG